AUGCUGGAAGCUGAUCCUCCUGAGAUGUCCUUUGAUCCUCACUGGCCUCAUCAGGGCCUGACCUGUGUCCCACGUCCGUGUUGCUCUCUGGCAUCAGGCAGUUUCCCAAUAGUAGGGGAAAGAAUGGAGGUCAGCCUGGAGAGAGGACCCUGCCAGCUGCACACCCGGGGAGGACUGCUCAGGCAGCUCCACAUGCUGCCAGCCUUGCGUGAAAGGAGCAUGGAGUCCAUUUGGAGAGGAAGGGAAAUGAAACAGAACAAAAAGGUGUGUGAGCAGAUGCUGGUUCAGAAGUGGCGGCUGGAUCAGAGCGGUCAUCUUUCCAGAGGACAUGGAAGAAUUCAGACUGUUCUGAGACUUCCAAGGGCUCCUCCUUGCCGUGAGACAGACCCCCCAGCCUCCAUGUGGCCUGCUGGCAUCAGUUCUGGCCCUCGCGUCCUGGGCACGCAGUGCUUGUCCAUCGAAGUGGCCCGGAGGCUGGGAUGCCACGUUCUUUAGCACCUCCUCUGCUCAUCCUGCUUACUUCCCUGCUUGGAGCAUCCUCUUUCUCCAGGAAACUCCUGCUGAUCAUUCAAAACCCCAGCCCAGGUGUCUGUUCCUCCUGGAAGUUACCUGGUCUCACAGGCUGAGUUUCAUGGCCUUUUCUCUGCUCUUACUGUCCCCAAGAACUAUCCAUUUGGCUCUUUGGCAUCUCCAUCAAAAGGCAACUCCAACUCCAUAAUCCAUGUGACUGCACUCCCGGCUCCCCCUAGUCCCAUGCUUCUUUAAUCUUUAAUCUCCCCCUUCUCAGUUUGUGACAACUGCAUCUUUCCAGUUGUUUGGGCCAAAAGUUUUGGAGUUAUCCUCGAGGCCUAUUUUUCUCUCACACUCAUGUAUGGUCUAUCAGCAAAUCCAAAAGUUUUACCUUUAAAAUAUGACCAGAAUGUGACCACUUCUGCUCACCUCCUCAGGUGCUACUUAGACCCAUGCCUCCACCGUCUCUCACCUAGACUGGGGUGCCAGCCUCUUCAACGAUAGAGGUCCCAGCCUCCACUGCUUCUAGUUCUCCUCUACUAUCCUCCACCCACACCCACCAUCUCCAAAAACUGUGCCAUGCUGUGCAUGAUAUAAAGGAGAAACAACACCAAACAACUUAAGUAAAAUGACAGGCACUUUGAUAAGCAAAUGCCAAGAGUGGCUCCACCGCCGACACCGUGAGCCGGACGACACCAGGAGGUCAGGGGCUGGG
RNAcentral lists this long non-coding RNA (1225 nucleotides) under Papio anubis (olive baboon). Its description in RNAcentral is "lncRNA (ENSPANG00000050613.1)". Lineage: Eukaryota; Metazoa; Chordata; Mammalia; Primates; Cercopithecidae. The record is from RNAcentral.